Molecule: ribosomal RNA, 253 nt
Filed under: uncultured bacterium
Lineage: Bacteria
Description: partial 16S ribosomal RNA
Rfam family: Bacterial small subunit ribosomal RNA
Source: RNAcentral
UACGGAGGGGGCGAGCGUUGUUCGGAAUCAUUGGGCGUAAAGGGCGCGUAGGCGGCCGUCCAAAUCGGGUGUGAAAUCCCUCGGCUCAACCGAGGAACUGCACUCGAUACUGGUCGGCUAGAGUCCGGGAGGGGAUGGUGGAAUUCCCAGUGUAGCGGUGAAAUGCGUAGAUAUUGGGAAGAACACCGGUGGCGAAGGCGGCCAUCUGGACCGGAACUGACGCUGAGGCGCGAAAGCCAGGGGAGCGAAUGGG